This 497-nucleotide ribosomal RNA is filed under the name uncultured bacterium. RNAcentral describes it as "partial 16S ribosomal RNA". It matches the Rfam family "Bacterial small subunit ribosomal RNA", at positions 28 to 507 of the family's 1533-position model. The record is from RNAcentral.
GAUGAACGCUGGCGGCGUGCCUAAUACAUGCCAGUCGAGCGAACGGACGAGAAGCUUGCUUCUCUGAUGUUAGCGGCGGACGGGUGAGUAACACGUGGAUAACCUACCUAUAAGACUGGGAUAACUUCGGGAAACCGGAGCUAAUACCGGAUAAUAUUUUGAACCGCAUGGUUCAAAAGUGAAAGACGGUCUCGCUGUCACUUAUAGAUGGAUCCGCGCUGCAUUAGCUAGUUGGUAAGGUAACGGCUUACCAAGGCAACGAUGCAUAGCCGACCUGAGAGGGUGAUCGGCCACACUGGAACUGAGACACGGUCCAGACUCCUACGGGAGGCAGCAGUAGGGAAUCUUCCGCAAUGGGCGAAAGCCUGACGGAGCAACGCCGCGUGAGUGAUGAAGGUCUUCGGAUCGUAAAACUCUGUUAUUAGGGAAGAACAUAUGUGUAAGUAACUGUGCACAUCUUGACGGUACCUAAUCAGAAAGCCACGGCUAACUACGUG